Molecule: long non-coding RNA, 205 nt
Organism: Zootermopsis nevadensis
Lineage: Eukaryota; Metazoa; Arthropoda; Insecta; Blattodea; Termopsidae
Source: RefSeq, a predicted model, not a curated record
GAUUCUUGUCUGUUGUCGCCAAUCACUCUGCCGAGAGUUCACUUGAAUUUUCUCUCAUCAUCAUUUUUGGAGCCAUAAACCAAAUUUAAGCCUUGUACAAAAGAGGUUCGAAGAUGGCGGCAGCCAAGGUCAAGAAGACCACGAUCUAAAAUCUCAACACCGUAAAACUCUGACGAAAAUUUCGAAUUCUGAACUUACUUCUCUC